This is a long non-coding RNA of Chelonia mydas (Green sea turtle), 443 nucleotides long. RefSeq lists it as uncharacterized. The record is from RefSeq and is a predicted model, not a curated record. The transcript has 3 exons. NCBI's taxonomy places the organism in Eukaryota, Metazoa, Chordata, Testudines, Cheloniidae.
GAAGCCCAGAAAACCAGCAGCAAGAGGUAGGUCUGUGGCGGAUUGUUAAAGGGUCCUGGGGCUGGAACCCAGUGUAGAACGUGGGCCUGGCUUCCCCUGCCAGCCACCGCGGGAGCGGCUAGGGCACUGGAGACACCAGUCAGACAGCAAGUCUGUGAAUACCCUAGAAGGGGAGGACUUUAGUGGCCUGGCCAGAGGACCAAGCCAAACAGAGGAAGCUACAGACCCAGGAGUGAGCAGGGCAGCAGAGUGAGACAAGACGGGAGAAAACCAUGCUGGAGGGAGAGCGCAAGCUGGCACAGCUAAAUCCCCAGGAUGGCCAGUGGGAGAUGCCAUUUGUGCAAAUGAACAUGACACACUCUGGAAAAAUACUGAAUCUCAUUGAGGAGAGCAAUGCAGACUUUAUCUCCGGGAAAUAUCCAGGUCUUUGAACAAGUUAUUUG